GGGGUGAUAACUCAGUGAUAAAGCACUUGCCUAGCAUGCAUGAGGCCAUGGGUUCAAUCCCCAUCACCACA
Molecule: transfer RNA, 71 nt
Filed under: Marmota marmota marmota (Alpine marmot)
Lineage: Eukaryota; Metazoa; Chordata; Mammalia; Rodentia; Sciuridae
Also listed under: 1 other name
Rfam family: tRNA
About the family: Transfer RNA (tRNA) molecules are approximately 80 nucleotides in length. Their secondary structure includes four short double-helical elements and three loops (D, anti-codon, and T loops).
Source: Rfam by way of RNAcentral